RNAcentral lists this ribosomal RNA (496 nucleotides) under uncultured bacterium. RNAcentral's name for it is "partial 16S ribosomal RNA". It matches the Rfam family "Bacterial small subunit ribosomal RNA", at positions 29 to 507 of the family's 1533-position model. The record is from RNAcentral.
AUGAACGCUGGCGGCGUGCCUAAUACAUGCAAGUCGAGCGAACAGACGAGGAGCUUGCUCCUCUGACGUUAGCGGCGGACGGGUGAGUAACACGUGGAUAACCUACCUAUAAGACUGGGAUAACUUCGGGAAACCGGAGCUAAUACCGGAUAAUAUAUUGAACCGCAUGGUUCAAUAGUGAAAGACGGUCUUGCUGUCACUUAUAGAUGGAUCCGCGCCGCAUUAGCUAGUUGGUAAGGUAACGGCUUACCAAGGCAACGAUGCGUAGCCGACCUGAGAGGGUGAUCGGCCACACUGGAACUGAGACACGGUCCAGACUCCUACGGGAGGCAGCAGUAGGGAAUCUUCCGCAAUGGGCGAAAGCUUGACGGAGCAACGCCGCGUGAGUGAUGAAGGUCUUCGGAUCGUAAAACUCUGUUAUUAGGGAAGAACAAAUGUGUAAGUAACUAUGCACGUCUUGACGGUACCUAAUCAGAAAGCCACGGCUAACUACGUG